GACAGAGGGUGCAAACGUUGUUCGGAAUUACUGGGCGUAAAGCGUGUGUAGGCGGUCCUCUAAGUCGGGUGUGAAAGCCCAGGGCUCAACCCUGGAAGUGCACUCGAAACUGGAAGGCUAGAGUACCGGAGAGGUUGGUGGAAUUCUCGGUGUAGAGGUGAAAUUCGUAGAUAUCGAGAGGAACACCGGUGGCGAAGGCGGCCAACUGGACGAGUACUGACGCUGAGGUGCGAAAGCGUGGGGAGCAAACAGG
This 253-nucleotide ribosomal RNA is filed under the name uncultured bacterium. RNAcentral describes it as "partial 16S ribosomal RNA". It matches the Rfam family "Bacterial small subunit ribosomal RNA", at positions 524 to 776 of the family's 1533-position model. The record is from RNAcentral.